This 668-nucleotide ribosomal RNA is filed under the name uncultured bacterium. Its description in RNAcentral is "bacterial SSU rRNA". It matches the Rfam family "Bacterial small subunit ribosomal RNA", at positions 93 to 746 of the family's 1533-position model. The record is from RNAcentral.
GAGUGGCGGACGGGUGAGUAACACGUAGGUAACCUGCCCAGAAGCGGGGGACAACAUUUGGAAACAGAUGCUAAUACCGCAUAACAGCGUUGUUCGCAUGAACAACGCUUAAAAGAUGGCUUCUCGCUAUCACUUCUGGAUGGACCUGCGGUGCAUUAGCUUGUUGGUGGGGUAACGGCCUACCAAGGCGAUGAUGCAUAGCCGAGUUGAGAGACUGAUCGGCCACAAUGGGACUGAGACACGGCCCAUACUCCUACGGGAGGCAGCAGUAGGGAAUCUUCCACAAUGGGCGCAAGCCUGAUGGAGCAACACCGCGUGAGUGAAGAAGGGUUUCGGCUCGUAAAGCUCUGUUGUUAAAGAAGAACACGUAUGAGAGUAACUGUUCAUACGUUGACGGUAUUUAACCAGAAAGUCACGGCUAACUACGUGCCAGCAGCCGCGGUAAUACGUAGGUGGCAAGCGUUAUCCGGAUUUAUUGGGCGUAAAGAGAGUGCAGGCGGUUUUCUAAGUCUGAUGUGAAAGCCUUCGGCUUAACCGGAGAAGUGCAUCGGAAACUGGAUAACUUGAGUGCAGAAGAGGGUAGUGGAACUCCAUGUGUAGCGGUGGAAUGCGUAGAUAUAUGGAAGAACACCAGUGGCGAAGGCGGCUACCUGGUCUGCAACUGACGC